Molecule: ribosomal RNA, 519 nt
Filed under: uncultured bacterium
Lineage: Bacteria
Description: bacterial SSU rRNA
Rfam family: Bacterial small subunit ribosomal RNA
Source: RNAcentral
UCGAGCGAACCAAUAAGAAGCUUGCUUUUUGUUGGUUAGCGGCGGACGGGUGAGUAACACGUGGGUAACCUGCCUGUAAGACCGGGAUAACUCCGGGAAACCGGUGCUAAUACCGGAUAGAUUAUCUUUCCACCUGGAGAGAUAAGGAAAGAUGGCUUUUGCCAUCACUUACAGAUGGGCCCGCGGCGCAUUAGCUAGUUGGUGAGGUAACGGCUCACCAAGGCGACGAUGCGUAGCCGACCUGAGAGGGUGAUCGGCCACACUGGGACUGAGACACGGCCCAGACUCCUACGGGAGGCAGCAGUAGGGAAUCUUCCGCAAUGGACGAAAGUCUGACGGAGCAACGCCGCGUGAGCGAAGAAGGUCUUCGGAUCGUAAAGCUCUGUUGUUAGGGAAGAACAAGUAUCGGAGGAAAUGCCGGUACCUUGACGGUACCUGACGAGAAAGCCACGGCUAACUACGUGCCAGCAGCCGCGGUAAUACGUAGGUGGCAAGCGUUGUCCGGAAUUAUUGGGCGUA